Molecule: non-coding RNA, 1611 nt
Filed under: Pan troglodytes (chimpanzee)
Lineage: Eukaryota; Metazoa; Chordata; Mammalia; Primates; Hominidae
Source: RNAcentral
AGUCCCAAUGUGUCAGGUCCCGGGCUGGGAUCCAUGUCAUCCUUACAACAGUUCAGCAAGAAACAUGUUAUUCGAUCCAUUCACUGAGGAGGAAACUGAAAUCACUCGGAGAGGAGGAGUGAUUCAGCCCCAAAUUCCAAAGUGGUAGAAAUGGACUUGGGCUUCCCUAAUGUCUUAGCUAGUCCCCCAUCUACCUGUCCAUUCCUGGGACAGGUGAGACAGGGGUAUAUGUCAGAGCCAUUAUUCAAGAUCAGAUGACCUGUUAAACUGAGACUUCUGCACCAUCUGAACCAUCAGUCACUCAUCUGAACCAUCAGUCACUCAUCUGAACCAUCAGUCACUCUCUGGCCCAGAGAGGUGGUAUUUGCCAAGGACACACAGCAGGUGGCCAAGAUGGAGCCAAGCCAUUUUCCCCACUGCAGGGCUCUUUCCUGGCUGUCAGCUCCGAGUCCAGCCUCUCCUCGCAUUGCUGCAGACGCUUUCUGAGGAACUCAUUCUCCAUCUGAGCACAGUCGAAGCGCAUCUGCCACUCGUCUGCUGUUUAACGGAGUCAGGGAGACCAGGAUAAGAGACCAAAUGAGUACCCCUGAUCUCCAUUCCCCUGGACAUCUCAAGGGCACAAAUUCUCUGGACACACGGAGGGAAUAAUGCUGACAUUUUAUAGAAGCUGAGCCACUGGAUAUCCUUCUCACCCAACUCCAUUAGGCUGGGGAGAGUAAGAGGCACGGUGACAAGGUGGCAAAGAUGUCACCGUGCCAUCCAAUCACGAGGUCUCCAGGAAACUGUAUAAGAAGGACACCCCCAGAAACUCCUGGCACUACUGAACAAAUGUAUAAUAUCCCUGGGUAAAACCAAGAGUCCUCUCGCCUUCUCGCCAUUUGGUAACUGUUGUGCGCCUGACACAGCUUUACCCUCUUUGAAUGGGGAGAGCAGUAGUUUCUGUUCCACAGGUUGCUAUAAGGAUGAACUGUGAUCUCAUCAUUCCUCAUAAUAAUGGCUUAUCAAGAUGAAGUAAUGAUUACCAUUGCCAUUUUACUGAUGAUGAAACAAAGGCUAAGAGACUUGAAGAAUUUGCCCACAAUCUUGUAGCAAUAAGGGUACAGAGUCAGCCAUCUGGAACUCAAGCUGGCUCGACCCUCUGCCCCUCCAAACUGGACACACAAGAGUGGUUGGGGAAUGGAGUGAGUAUUUCAGCCAGCAUCUAUGAAGAUACCCAGGUGCUAGGUUCCAACAAGAGAUUUUUGUUUCACCACUUCCAAAUUUCAAUGUCUCUGUUCAUGCAAGUCUGUUCCAGCCCUGCCCAGUCGAGGGGCUGAACACAAAUCAUCAGAAUGAGUCCCUUGCUUUGCCUGAGACUGGGUAUGCCCAAGUAUGGACACGGUGCUCAGCACUUCAUUCUCCAGGGAUUGCCUUUCUGCCAGUGGCUCAGCACUGUGCCUAUGACAGCACCAUUCAGAAGCUGCUUCACCGCCCACCCACAGCAGGCGGGUGGAAUGAACUAAGGAGCAGACACACAAAGGAGGGCUAUGCAGCCAUAAAGACAGAACAAGGAGGAGCUCCACAAGAAUGGAAACGGCAAGAUUUUCAGAAUACAUUUUAAGUAGAAAAUAC